RNAcentral lists this ribosomal RNA (420 nucleotides) under bacterium. RNAcentral describes it as "partial 16S ribosomal RNA". It matches the Rfam family "Bacterial small subunit ribosomal RNA", at positions 355 to 776 of the family's 1533-position model. The record is from RNAcentral.
UGGGGGAUAUUGCACAAUGGGCGAAAGCCUGAUGCAGCGACGCCGCGUGGGGGAUGAAGGCUUUCGGGUUGUAAACCUCUUUCGCUAUCGAACAAGGCCUGCUUAGGGUGGGUUGAGGGUAGGUGGAGAAGAAGCGCCGGCUAACUACGUGCCAGCAGCCGCGGUAAUACGUAGGGCGCGAGCGUUGUCCGGAAUUAUUGGGCGUAAAGGGCUUGUAGGCGGCUUGUUGCGCCUGCUGUGAAAACGCGGGGCUUAACUUCGCGCGUGCAGUGGGUACGGGCAGGCUUGAGUGUGGUAGGGGUGACUGGAAUUCCAGGUGUAGCGGAGGAAUGCGCAGAUAUCUGGAGGAACACCGAUGGCGAAGGCAGGUCACUGGGCCAUUACUGACGCUGAGGAGCGAAAGCAUGGGUAGCGAACAGG